UACCAGCUCUUCGAGUGGUGUGGAUGUUUAUUGGGCCUAAAGCAUCCGUAGCUGGCUGGGCAAGUCCCCUGUUAAAUCCACCGAUUUAAUCGUUGGAGUGCGGGGGAUACUGUUCGGCUAGGGGACGGGAGAGGCAGACGGUAUUUUCGGGGUAGGGGUGAAAUCCUAUAAUCCCGGGAAGACCACCAGUGGCGAAGGCUGUCUGCUAGAACGCGCCCGACGGUGAGGGAUGAAAGCUGGGGGAGCGAACCGGAUUAGAUACCCGGGUAGUCCCAGCUGUAAACGAUGCAGGCUAGGUGUUUGGGCGGCCACGUGCCGCUCUAGUACCGCAGGGAAGCCGUUAAGCCUGCCGCCUGGGGAGUACGGCCGCAAGGCUGAAACUUAAAGGAAUUGGCGGGGGAGCACCACAAGGGGUGAAGCUUGCGGUUU
This 429-nucleotide ribosomal RNA is filed under the name uncultured archaeon. RNAcentral describes it as "bacterial SSU rRNA". It matches the Rfam family "Archaeal small subunit ribosomal RNA", at positions 474 to 903 of the family's 1478-position model. The record is from RNAcentral.